AUUGAACGCUGGCGGCAUGCUUUACACAUGCAAGUCGAACGGCGGCGCGGGCUUCGGCCUGGCGGCGAGUGGCGAACGGGUGAGUAAUGCAUCGGAACGUGCCCAGUAGUGGGGGAUAGCCCGGCGAAAGCCGGAUUAAUACCGCAUACGACCUGAGGGUGAAAGCGGGGGACCGAAAGGCCUCGCGCUAUUGGAGCGGCCGAUGUCGGAUUAGCUAGUUGGUGGGGUAAAGGCUUACCAAGGCGACGAUCCGUAGCUGGUCUGAGAGGACGACCAGCCACACUGGGACUGAGACACGGCCCAGACUCCUACGGGAGGCAGCAGUGGGGAAUUUUGGACAAUGGGGGCAACCCUGAUCCAGCCAUGCCGCGUGCGGGAAGAAGGCCUUCGGGUUGUAAACCGCUUUUGUUCGGGAAGAAAUCCUCUGGGCUAAUACCCCGGGGGGAUGGCGGUACCGGAAGAAUAAGCACCGGCUAACUACGUG
Molecule: ribosomal RNA, 484 nt
Filed under: uncultured bacterium
Lineage: Bacteria
Description: partial 16S ribosomal RNA
Rfam family: Bacterial small subunit ribosomal RNA
Source: RNAcentral